RNAcentral lists this ribosomal RNA (254 nucleotides) under uncultured bacterium. Its description in RNAcentral is "partial 16S ribosomal RNA". It matches the Rfam family "Bacterial small subunit ribosomal RNA", at positions 524 to 776 of the family's 1533-position model. The record is from RNAcentral.
UACGUAGGGGCCAAGCGUUGUCCGGAUUUAUUGGGCGUAAAGAGCUCGUAGGCGGUUCGGCAAGUCGAAUGUGAAAUCUCCACGCUCAACGUGGAGGGGUCAUUCGAUACUGCCGUGACUCGAGUCCGGUAGGGGAGUGUGGAAUUCCCGGUGUAGCGGUGAAAUGCGCAGAGAUCGGGAGGAACACCCGUAGCGAAGGCGGCACUCUGGGCCGGUACUGACGCUGAGGCGCGAAAGCUAGGGGAGCGAACGGG